UACGAAGGGGGCUAGCGUUGCUCGGAAUUACUGGGCGUAAAGGGCGCGUAGGCGGAUAUCUAAGUCGGGGGUGAAAGCCCAGGGCUCAACCCUGGAAUUGCCUUCGAUACUGGAUAUCUUGAGUUCGGGAGAGGUGAGUGGAAUGCCGAGUGUAGAGGUGAAAUUCGUAGAUAUUCGGCGGAACACCAGUGGCGAAGGCGACUCACUGGCCCGGUACUGACGCUGAGGUGCGAAAGCGUGGGGAGCAAACAGG
RNAcentral lists this ribosomal RNA (253 nucleotides) under uncultured bacterium. RNAcentral's name for it is "partial 16S ribosomal RNA". It matches the Rfam family "Bacterial small subunit ribosomal RNA", at positions 524 to 776 of the family's 1533-position model. The record is from RNAcentral.